AAAACGGCCCUUUUCAGGGCCAACAAUACUAUAACGAAGAGACUAU
This is a non-coding RNA of Dufourea novaeangliae, 46 nucleotides long. Lineage: Eukaryota; Metazoa; Arthropoda; Insecta; Hymenoptera; Halictidae. The record is from Rfam.